GCUGGGGGUGGGGGGGUUCAUUUUCACAUAUCAUGUAAAAUCAGGGUCCUGUUUCUCUCUUCUGCAUCCCGAUACCAUUUUUCUCAAAGGUAUUCAUUGAGCAGACUCUGCCUUCCACAUUGUGGUGGUCUUUAUCAAAGUUCAUCUGGGUUGCUCCACAUGACACUGUUUCUUCAUUUCGGUGGCUGAAGAAUAUUCCCUAGUGUAUGCAUACGAGAGUGUGAUCCGUUUAUCUGUGGAUGGACAGGAGAUGAAGAUGUUUUCAGUCUGCAUGCCUGAGAUGGUGUGGAAUGGGACUUUGUCUACCAGGCUCAUUCGUUGGACCUGAUGAUCUCCAGGUUUCUUCAUGUGGCUCCAGAUGGCAGGAUUUCCCAGAGCUUUAUGGCUGGAACGUACUCCGUGGUGUAUCUGUACAUCAGUUUCUUCAUCUGUGCAGCUGUGUGUGGACAGGUCAUAUACCACGAUUUCCUCCAGGUUCAACAGCGUGGCUCCCAAUGAUGAAAUUUCAUUCUGGUUUUUUGGCUGAAGACGAUUUUAUUUGUGUACAUCCACCAAGUAUCCCUUCAUCUGCGGAUGAGCAGGUAAGUCUAUUCUUUGUCUUGGCAAUGGUGAAUAGUGCUGCAGUCCACAUAGGAUGGCAGACGCCUGUUGCAUGGACUGAUUUCUUUUGCCCUGAAAGUAUACUUAGUAGUACACUUGUUAGAUGAAGUGGUAGGUAUAGGUUAAACUUUUGGAGGAACCUCCCACUGGUUUCUGUAGUAUGUGUACUGAUUAAUGUUCU
Molecule: long non-coding RNA, 781 nt
Organism: Sapajus apella (tufted capuchin)
Lineage: Eukaryota; Metazoa; Chordata; Mammalia; Primates; Cebidae
Exons: 4
Source: RefSeq, a predicted model, not a curated record